RNAcentral lists this ribosomal RNA (468 nucleotides) under uncultured bacterium. RNAcentral's name for it is "partial 16S ribosomal RNA". The stretch from base 13 to 373 matches the Rfam family "Bacterial small subunit ribosomal RNA", at positions 40 to 399 of the family's 1533-position model. The record is from RNAcentral.
GACGAACGCUGGCGGCGUGCUUAACACAUGCAAGUCGAACGGAAAGGCCCUGCUUUUGUGGGGUGCUCGAGUGGCGAACGGGUGAGUAACACGUGAGUAACCUGCCCUUGACUUUGGGAUAACUUCAGGAAACUGGGGCUAAUACCGGAUAGGAGCUCCUGCUGCAUGGUGGGGGUUGGAAAGUUUCGGCGGUUGGGGAUGGACUCGCGGCUUAUCAGCUUGUUGGUGGGGUAGUGGCUUACCAAGGCUUUGACGGGUAGCCGGCCUGAGAGGGUGACCGGCCAAAAUGGGACUUGGGUACGGCCCAGGCUUCUACGGGGAGGAAGAGGGGGGGAUAAUGGCCAAUGGGCCGGAGGCUGAUGGAACAACGGCGGGGGGGGGGAGGACGGCCUUGGGGUGGAAACCGGCUUUGGCUGGUAACGAGGGGUAGGGACGGGAAAUGGGAAAGGAGACACCGGUUACUUCGGG